GAGUUUUAUAAAAACAUUCUCCCAUGGUCACUUAAACCUUUCAAACAGCUGAACUGGCAUUAAGCUUGGCACCGAUUGCUGAAUACCACCAAUGUCAGACAUCCGAGGGUUUCUGCAGCACGAGCAGAAACCAAAAUAAUAAAACCAAAUUGCUGGGAAGCACCUACACCGCUUGCACAGGACUCCCGAAUCCAAGAAAAGCUUCCUGGCUUUUGGGCUGGCCCAGCUGGAGUUGAAUUGUUGCUAUUCUUUCCUAGUCCUCUGUGCCUGGAAGCCUGGAAAUCCUGCCUAACUAUUGACUGUUCAGCUUUUUAUUGGACCAAUCCAAAUGAUACAUCUUCACAGUGUACAAACAGAUUGUUCUGCAGCAUUGCUGGUUCUUACUCCUCCUUUGGAUGACAGCUUAAAUGUCACAGCCCGAGAGAGUUUCACUUACUACCCCAUCUUAUUUGUUCAGAAUGGUUUGUCAGAAGAGACUGCGCAUAGAGGACGCUCAUUCUUGUGUUUAUUACAGUUUAACUCUGGGCUUUUCUACAUCCCUUCAGAGGCUUCCCUGACAGUCCCCUCUAUAACCGUCACCUCGACUGGAUUUGUAAUCACCUUGGAACUAUACUGUUGCAUGAAUCUAUGGCAGUGCCUCCAGAAGAGCUGAGACAAGGAGGGAAGACACCUCCUGAGUGUGGACAGCAUCAUCUCAUGGACUUGGUUCCUGUCUGAAUAAAAGCGAGCCUGGUACCAGCAUUUAUCUCUCUGAUUACUGACUACUAUCACAGUGUGGCCAGCUGUCCCAGGUUCCUGCUCCCAAGCCGUCCUUCCCUUCCAGAGUUGGCUGCAUCCUCAAAGUGAAACAGGAACAAACCCUCCCUACCAUUAGAUACUUCUAUCAUGUAUUUUAUUAUAGUGGUGAGAAGGAGUUAAUGACACAGUUACCAUAAGGAUUAUAUAAAGCAUAGUAUACUAGUAACUAUUUUAAUCUGAUAAUGCCAACUCUUAUCACGUGCAAAAAAUAUAUAUUUUUAAACAGGAUCUCAAUGUAUUGCUCUGGCUGGCCUGAAUUCUUUAUGUAAACCAGGUUAGGCUUGAACUCACAGAGAUUCACCAGUCUCUGCCUUCUAAGUCCUGGGGUUAAAGGCAUUCCCAGCCUCAAACUCUUUGUUUUUAUUCUUCUGAACAAUUUGUUGAUUUGGUUUUGUUGUUGCUGUUGUUGUUGUUGUUGUUGAUAGUUUGUCUCUUUUACAGGUUGUGUUCCUUAACACGUUAUUUUGACUAUAGUUAUUUUAAUAGUUUUGACUUUAAGAAUUCACACUAGAGAUAUAGUUGAUUUUUAUAGUACCAUCACAGAAAUGAGUGUUUUGAACUUAAUACACUUAUUUUACUUUUUAUAUUUACUUUCUCCCUCUCUCCUCCUCCUCCUCCU
Molecule: long non-coding RNA, 1417 nt
Organism: Myodes glareolus (Bank vole)
Lineage: Eukaryota; Metazoa; Chordata; Mammalia; Rodentia; Cricetidae
Source: RefSeq, a predicted model, not a curated record